GAUGAACGCUGGCGGCGUGCCUAAUACAUGCAAGUCGAGCGAACGGACGAGAAGCUUGCUUCUCUGAUGUUAGCGGCGGACGGGUGAGUAACACGUGGAUAACCUAUCUAUAAGACUGGGAUAACUUCGGGAAACCGGAGCUAAUACCGGAUGAUAUUUUGAACCGCAUGGUUCAAAAGUGAAAGACGGUCUUGCUGUCACUUAUAGAUGGAUCCGCGCUGCAUUAGCUAGUUGGUAAGGUAACGGCUUACCAAGGCAACGAUGCAUAGCCGACCUGAGAGGGGGAUAGGCCACACUGGAACUGAGACACGGUCAAGACUCCUACGGGAGGCAGCAGUAGGGAAUCGUCCGAAAUGGGCGAAAGCCUGACGGAGCAACGCAGCGUGAGUGAUGAAGGUCUUCGGAUCGUAAAGCACUGUUAUGAGGGAAGAACAUAUGUGUGAGUAAAUGUGCACAUCUUGACGGUACCUAAUCAGAAAGCCACGGCUAACUACGUG
This 497-nucleotide ribosomal RNA is filed under the name uncultured bacterium. RNAcentral describes it as "partial 16S ribosomal RNA". It matches the Rfam family "Bacterial small subunit ribosomal RNA", at positions 28 to 507 of the family's 1533-position model. The record is from RNAcentral.